UUUAAUUCGAUGCAAAGCGAAGAACCUUACCAGAGCUUGACAUGCCGUGAAUCCUCUUGAAAGAGAGGGGUGUCUUCAGGAACAUGGAUACAGGUGGUGAAUGACUUUAUCAGCUCAUGCUAUAAGAUGUUGGAUUAAGUCCCGUAACGAGCACAACCCUCAUGUUUAGUUGUCAACAUUGAGUUUGGGUACUCACCAUUCAUAGAUAAAGUUGAUGUCGAUUUAAAAUCUCAAGACCUUUAAGAUAAGAAAAA
Lupinus albus (white lupine) is the source of this 254-nucleotide non-coding RNA. NCBI's taxonomy places the organism in Eukaryota, Viridiplantae, Streptophyta, Magnoliopsida, Fabales, Fabaceae. The record is from the annotation of a GenBank genome assembly.